CUGAGGUCUGGUAAAAGGUUUGAGGCUGACGUGAGGUCUUUUGGUGAUGCUGUAGGCCUGUUAGAAAUUAUUUUCUGUAAGUAAUAAUUAUUUUGUAUUUCUUCCAGUCUACCAGAAGAAAAUACCUCCCAGUAACCUACAGUCAGAAGUCUACAGCUUGAACGCCUACAGCCCACACGCCUCCGGUCUUUUGUCUCAGCUCUCCAUCAGGCUUCCUGAUCCCC
Molecule: long non-coding RNA, 224 nt
Organism: Bufo bufo (common toad)
Lineage: Eukaryota; Metazoa; Chordata; Amphibia; Anura; Bufonidae
Exons: 3
Source: RefSeq, a predicted model, not a curated record